This 1912-nucleotide ribosomal RNA is filed under the name Salmonella enterica. RNAcentral describes it as "partial 23S ribosomal RNA". It matches the Rfam family "Bacterial large subunit ribosomal RNA", at positions 369 to 2166 of the family's 2925-position model. Lineage: Bacteria; Pseudomonadati; Pseudomonadota; Gammaproteobacteria; Enterobacterales; Enterobacteriaceae. The record is from RNAcentral.
AGCCCCGUACACAAAAGCGCACGUGCUGUGAGCUCAAUGAGUAGGGCGGGACACGUGGUAUCCUGUCUGAAUAUGGGGGGACCAUCCUCCAAGGCUAAAUACUCCUGACUGACCGAUAGUGAACCAGUACCGUGAGGGAAAGGCGAAAAGAACCCCGGCGAGGGGAGUGAAACAGAACCUGAAACCGUGUACGUACAAGCAGUGGGAGCCCCACCACUAAGCCAGUGGUGAACUCCACAUACGCAUCCUUUGCUGAGGAUACGGUUAACGGAGCGAAAGCGACGUUCAACCGCAAAAGAAGCAGAGGGGGCUUAGUGGUGGGGUGACUGCGUACCUUUUGUAUAAUGGGUCAGCGACUUAUAUUCUGUAGCAAGGUUAACCGCAUAGGGGAGCCGGAGGGAAACCGAGUCUUAAUUGGGCGUUAAGUUGCAGGGUAUAGACCCGAAACCCGGUGAUCUAGCCAUGGGCAGGUUGAAGGUUGGGUAACACUAACUGGAGGACCGAACCGACUAAUGUUGAAAAAUUAGCGGAUGACCUGUGGCUGGGGGUGAAAGGCCAAUCAAACCGGGAGAUAGCUGGUUCUCCCCGAAAGCUAUUUAGGUAGCGCCUCGUGAAUUCAUCUCCGGGGGUAGAGCACUGUUUCGGCCAGGGGGCCAUCCCGGCUUACCAAUCCGAUGCAAACUGCGAAUACCGGAGAAUGUUAUCACGGGAGACACACGGCGGGUGCUAACGUCCGUCGUGAAGAGGGAAACAACCCAGACCGCCAGCUAAGGUCCCAAAGUCAUGGUUAAGUGGGAAACGAUGUGGGAAGGCCCAGACAGCCAGGAUGUUGGCUUAGAAGCAGCCAUCAUUUAAAGAAAGCGUAAUAGCUCACUGGUCGAGUCGGCCUGCGCGGAAGAUGUAACGGGGCUAAACCAUGCACCGAAGCUGCGGCAGCGACACUGAUGUGUUGUUGGGUAGGGGAGCGUUCUGUAAGCCGUUGAAGGUGUGUCGUGAGGCAUGCUGGAGGUAUCAGAAGUGCGAAUGCUGACAUAAGUAACGAUAAAGCGGGUGAAAAGCCCGCUCGCCGGAAGACCAAGGGUUCCUGUCCAACGUUAAUCGGGGCAGGGUGAGUCGACCCCUAAGGCGAGGCCGAAAGGCGUAGUCGAUGGGAAACGGGUUAAUAUUCCCGUACUUGGUGUUACUGCGAAGGGGGGACGGAGAAGGCUAUGUUGGCCGGGCGACGGUUGUCCCGGUUUAAGCGUGUAGGUGUGUGUUCCAGGUAAAUCCGGUUCACUUUAACACUGAGGCGUGAUGACGAGGCACUACGGUGCUGAAGCAACAAAUGCCCUGCUUCCAGGAAAAGCCUCUAAGCCUCAGGUAACAUCAAAUCGUACCCCAAACCGACACAGGUGGUCAGGUAGAGAAUACCAAGGCGCUUGAGAGAACUCGGGUGAAGGAACUAGGCAAAAUGGUGCCGUAACUUCGGGAGAAGGCACGCUGACACGUAGGUGAAGUGGUUUACCCAUGGAGCUGAAGUCAGUCGAAGAUACCAGCUGGCUGCAACUGUUUAUUAAAAACACAGCACUGUGCAAACACGAAAGUGGACGUAUACGGUGUGACGCCUGCCCGGUGCCGGAAGGUUAAUUGAUGGGGUCAGCGCAAGCGAAGCUCCUGAUCGAAGCCCCGGUAAACGGCGGCCGUAACUAUAACGGUCCUAAGGUAGCGAAAUUCCUUGUCGGGUAAGUUCCGACCUGCACGAAUGGCGUAAUGAUGGCCAGGCUGUCUCCACCCGGGACUCAGUGAAAUUGAACUCGCUGUGAAGAUGCAGUGUACCCGCGGCAAGACGGAAAGACCCCGUGAACCUUUACUAUAGCUUGACACUGAACACUGGUCCUUGAUGUGCAGGAUAGGUGGGAGGCUUUGAAGUGUG